AUGCCAUUCCUUCGACCGUCACCUGCUCCCCCAAGAGCAUGUACGGUUGAUCUGUGGAGGAUGGAUGCUAUGGAUGAUGGCCCUAAUAUGGGUACCGAGGGUGUUGCUCUCAAGACACAAAGGGUGAAGCAGCUUGUUCAUGUUAACAUCAAAGUUAGAGUUCUUCCAUAUCGGGCCGUGCUUGCUGAUGGCGCCGAGGAACAAAUGGAGCGGCAGGAUAUUGAAAUGCAGAUUAGAUGGAAGGGGCUCACUUUAAACAAAUUUGCAUACGACUUGAGCCAAUACACACCAUGGGGCCCAUGGCAGGAGGUGCAUCUGUUUGGCUAUGAUAAGGAUUCAGAUGAGGAAUGCAGACUGGUUAGCACUAAGCAAUUGAGAAGCCAUUUGAUUGACCAUAUGUGGGGAGAGGAAGAAAAAGUGAAGAUGCUAGUUGAGGUGCAUACAAAACCUGCUAAGAAAUCUGUCGCGAAGAGAGCUAACAAGCCUACUAAGGAACCAGCUGCUAAGAAACCUAAGAAGGCACCUAUUGAGAAGGCACCUAAAAUCCUAAAAUCGGCUAUGGAUGAUGUACUAUGCAGUGCUACAUCAUCUGUGGUUGUGGACAAUGCGAAUGAGGAAGCACUUGAGGUUGUUCAAUCAAUGGCGAGUCAAACAAGUGCUUUUGUUGACAAUGAUAUUAACUUCACAGCAUGUGAUGUUGUUCAACCCAAUAUGCCAUCAAUUUCUGACAUUGCUGAAAGCAAUGAGCAAUGCGGGUCUUCAGUGGUGUUGGAUAUCGAACCACCAAUUGAUUGGAGCCUAAUUGAGAUUGCUCCUCCAAAUGAAGAUGAAGUGGAUGUUCCAGUUACAGAGGAGAAUAUGUGUGAUUUUCUAGGUAUCGAGGAGGAUGAGACACAUGAAGCACCUUCUUCGCCACCUAGUGAAGAUGCGUAUCUCACUGAUGAGGAGGACCAACAACUAUUAACUGAGGCUGCUAUUCCUGUUGAUGACAAGAUAGCUCAAGAGGAGGAGAUUGCAUAUGACAAAGAGAACCCUCAUAUGAAGAGAAAACAGAGAGCAAGAACAUAUCCUGCUGAAGAUGAUGAGCCAGGACCUCAAAUUGGUGGUGCUCCUGUUGGCACACCCAACAGGCAAAUUGGUGGCGCUCCUGUUGGCACACCCAAUAGGCAAAUGCUUACUAUUCCUGCCAGUCUCCAUGAUAGUCCUAGGCCAGUGACAAGAAGGAUGCUGGCUAUGGCCUUGGCCGAUGAAUCAUCAGAGCCAACAGAGGUACCUUCGACCUCGCGUGAAACAUUGAAACAAUUACUGAAAACCGUGAAUUUCUGGGAGAAUUUGAGAUCAUUUGGCGGAGCAGAAAUUAGAAUAUUAAGAAGUACCCAAAAUGACAAAUCUGAAGUUCACAACUUCAGAAAGUACACAUAA
RNAcentral lists this ribosomal RNA (1422 nucleotides) under Triticum aestivum (bread wheat). Its description in RNAcentral is "partial small subunit ribosomal RNA". The record is from RNAcentral. Lineage: Eukaryota; Viridiplantae; Streptophyta; Magnoliopsida; Poales; Poaceae.